Molecule: ribosomal RNA, 792 nt
Filed under: Pseudochramesus acuteclavatus
Lineage: Eukaryota; Metazoa; Arthropoda; Insecta; Coleoptera; Curculionidae
Description: eukaryotic LSU rRNA
Rfam family: Eukaryotic large subunit ribosomal RNA
Source: RNAcentral
UUAGGGGUAAACUGAGAAACCGAAAGGUCGAAGGAAGAAAUUCAUUCGCGUUUUGACAUUGAAGUUAAGCAAUGUUGUGUGACGGAGAAUGCGUUUAACGUGUUUUUCGCGCCCUUUGCUUUUCGAAUCGAUGACAAACGUGUGCACUUUUCUUCUGGUAGGACGUCGCGAUCCGUUGAGUGUUGGUCUAUGGCUCGCGGUGGAGCCCGUUUGUCGUGUCUUUAAAAACACGUGUACAAGCGGACCCGUGUGUAUCACCUGGCCAACUUGCUCGACGGUAUAAGUGAAAGGUUCGAGGCCGCUUAUUUUUUAGAGCGUUCGACUCAUGGCAAGCGCGCCAGAUGUUUUGUUGAAAUCGGAUCUGAUGCCGGUUUCAACCUCUGGUGACUGUUGGCUAUGAUGUUCUUGAACAGACCUCGUUUUACUGUAAAACCAUUCUGCGGCGCUAUAGCUUUGGGUAAUUUCAGGACCCGUCUUGAAACACGGACCAAGGAGUCUAGCAUGUACGCAAGUCAUUGGGAAUCAUUAAACCUAAAGGCGUAAUGAAAGUAAAGAUCUUCCUUGCGGAGAUCGAGGGAGGAUAAGUGUUUGAUAUUUAUAUGAAAUGCUUCGCACUCCCGGGGCGUCUCAUUCUCAUUGCGAGAGGAGGCGCACUAAGAGCGUACACGCUGGGACCCGAAAGAUGGUGAACUAUGCCUGGUCAGGACGAAGUCAGGGGAAACCCUGAUGGAGGUCCGUAGCGAUUCUGACGUGCAAAUCGAUCGUCGGAACUGGGUAUAGGGGCGAAAGACU